This 1161-nucleotide unclassified non-coding RNA is filed under the name Hevea brasiliensis (rubber tree). The record is from RNAcentral. Lineage: Eukaryota; Viridiplantae; Streptophyta; Magnoliopsida; Malpighiales; Euphorbiaceae.
GUUGAAAGAUGCAAUCGAGAGGAAAGUUAGGGGUGGCACGCUAAAGCUUUUUAUAAGAAGGGAUGAUCGAUACUUAGACCUGAGGAUGGGAAGGCGACCGAAGGGAGAGAAGGAAGUCUAAAAGAUAGCAAGACCAAAGAAGGGAGAGGAAUAAGUCUGAUGACGAAUACCCGAUUGGUGUAAUAAAUGUGAUCACUAGUGGCCCAUCCAUAAUUAAGGGAGAGAAAAAGAGAGACUAGGCUCUCGAUGGGUCAAUAAAAAUAAUGGCAAUCGAAUAGUUAUGCCAGUCUCCCAUCACCUCUAGUCCUAAAGACGACAAGGUCAGCCGCCCACAUUCCAACCACUUGGUAAUUAAUGCCAAGUUUAACAAGUACGAAGUGAGAAGAGUCUUGGUAGACACUGAAAGCUUGGUUAACCUCCUCACUUUGGAUGUGUAUGAGAAGUUAGGGUUUCAAGUAAAAAAUCUAUCCAAGGUCCCUUACCCAUUAGUCAGUUUGGGUGACAAGUCAAUACCAGUAGUAGGGACAACCAACAUCAUGGUAGUACUAGGAGAUGAGAAGCAUAAGUGGGAACUAUAUGCUGAGUUUGUUGUGGUGAACAUCCCAUUUUCUUACAAUGCCAUCCUCCGGAGACCAAUAUUGAGUGAUUAUGGAAUAACAAUCAAUAUAGGAAUGUUAUACCUUAAAUUACCUAUAACCAGGGGAAUAGCAAUUUGUAGAGGAAGUCAGAAGUCAGCAUAAUAAUGCUAUAGACAAUCAACCAAGCCGGUCGACCAAAUGACUCUUCCCAUCGAGUUAUUAGAGCAACUAGAAAAAGCCUCUCCCAAGCCAGCCGACACAAUACAAAUUCUAGAAUUGGAAGAGGGAGAGAAAGUCAGGAUGGGAACAGCUUUGGAAGGGCAAGCCAAAGAAGAUGUGAUUCGAACUCUGACACAGAGAAUUCAAACUUUUGCUUGGAACCUAGAAGAAGUAAAGGGUGUUGAUCCAUUGGUCAUGACUCGCAAAUUGAAUGUCAAUCCUAAUGUUAAACCAUUCCAAUAGAAAAAGAGGAAAUUUGUCCCAAAUAGAUAGAAGGCACUAGCAGAAAAAGUUAAAAAACUAAAAGAUGCCAAUUUACUCUUUGAAGUUCAAUGCCUAACCUAGGUUGCUAAUGUUGUCCUUG